GUGAUUAAUCAUUUUUAAAAAAUAAAUUCAAAACUUCCUCUUCUUAAAUCUUUAAGUGGUAUCAAGAAAAAUUUUCAAACAAAUAAUUAUUUGAGUUAAUUCUCAAAACAAUUGGUAUGAGGAUGAUUAUUUUCACAAUCGGUAUCAAGAAAAUUCUUCUUAAAAAAAUUUUUAUACUUGGUAUCAAGCAACUCAUUCUUGCCUUGCAUUAUAUUGCUUUAUCUUUGAAAAAAGAAAAGAAUAUUUUAAUCUCAAAUAUAUUUUGCAUUGAUACAUUCUUGAUAUGAUACUAUUUAAGACAAAUUCGAAAAAUUCAUAACUUUUCUGAAUUUAAUGAAAUGAUACCACUUAAAGAAAAGAAAAAGAUAUCUUUUGAAAAGAUAAAACAUAACUUAUGCUUGAUUUUGAUACUCCAAAAUCUUGAGUUUUGAAUAAACUCUAUCUUUCUUGAAUCUUUUUUAAAGCUCAAAGCAUUUUUCUUUUAACUGAAUUUGAGAAGUAUUUUUGAAUCUAUACUUUUGACAAAGGGGAGUAGUGUUAUCAAGUUUGUAUAAAAUUUAAUGUUACACAAAAUGAAACAUAUUUUCUAAAACUGGCCAAGUUUGAUUUAAAUUUAAUAAGAAAACAAGUUUCAUUUUCUUCACUCUCAAUCCUUGAUUCUUUAGAAAUCUUAUUCUGAAUUUGAAAGUCAAACUCAAAAUUAAUCUGAAAGGGAGAGAACUCAAAUCAAAUUCUAAAAAUUGAAUUCUGAAUUUGAGUCUUUGAUUGAUUUUGUUGUUGUCAAAAGAGGAGAGAGUAUGUGUAAUAAAUAUAUGCCUACAAUGCUUUUAAUUUGAUUGGCACGCUCA
RNAcentral lists this long non-coding RNA (848 nucleotides) under Elaeis guineensis (African oil palm). RNAcentral describes it as "long non-coding RNA (EGUI_LNC072275)". The record is from RNAcentral. Lineage: Eukaryota; Viridiplantae; Streptophyta; Magnoliopsida; Arecales; Arecaceae.